This 459-nucleotide ribosomal RNA is filed under the name uncultured bacterium. RNAcentral's name for it is "partial 16S ribosomal RNA". It matches the Rfam family "Bacterial small subunit ribosomal RNA", at positions 338 to 795 of the family's 1533-position model. The record is from RNAcentral.
CCUACGGGAGGCAGCAGUGAGGAAUAUUGGUCAAUGGACGGGAGCCUGAACCAGCCAAGUAGCGUGAAGGAAGAAGGUACUUAGUAUUGUAAACUUCUUUUAUCUGGGAACAAAAUCGGCGACGCGUCUCCGUUUGAGUGUACCCGAAGAAUAAGCAUCGGCUAACUCCGUGCCAGCAGCCGCGGUAAUACGGAGGAUGCGAGCGUUAUCCGGAUUUAUUGGGUUUAAAGGGUGCGCAGGCGGGAGUUCAAGUCAGUGGUAAAAUGUAGGGGCUCAACCUAGACUGGCCGUUGAAACUGGUUUUCUAGAGUUGGAGAGAAGUAGGCGGAAUUCGUGGUGUAGCGGUGAAAUGCAUAGAUAUCACGAAGAACUCCGAUUGCGAAGGCAGCAUACCGGCUCCAUACUGACGCUGAGGCACGAAAGUGUGGGGAUCGAACAGGAUUAGAUACCCUGGUAGUC